This 433-nucleotide ribosomal RNA is filed under the name uncultured bacterium. RNAcentral's name for it is "partial 16S ribosomal RNA". It matches the Rfam family "Bacterial small subunit ribosomal RNA", at positions 29 to 507 of the family's 1533-position model. The record is from RNAcentral.
AACGAACGCUGGCGGCAUGCCUAACACAUGCCAGUCGAACGAGACCUUCGGGUCUAGUGGCGCACGGGUGCGUAACGCGUGGGAACCUGCCCUUAGGUUCGGAAUAACUCCCCGAAAGGGGUGCUAAUACCGGAUAAUGUCUUCGGACCAAAGAUUUAUCGCCUUUGGAUGGGCCCGCGUUGGAUUAGCUAGUUGGUAGGGUAAAAGCCUACCAAGGCGACGAUCCAUAGCUGGUCUGAGAGGAUGAUCAGCCACACUGGGACUGAGACACGGCCCAGACUCCUACGGGAGGCAGCAGUGGGGAAUAUUGGAGAAUGGGCGAAAGCCUGAUCAAGCAAUGCCGCGUGAAUGAUAAAGGCCUUAGGGUUGUAAAGCUCUUUUGCCCGGGAUGAUAAUGACAGUACCGGGAGAAUAAGCUCCGGCUAACUCCGUG